This 482-nucleotide long non-coding RNA is filed under the name Otus sunia (Oriental scops-owl). Its description in RNAcentral is "lncRNA (ENSOSUG00000011328.1)". The record is from RNAcentral. Lineage: Eukaryota; Metazoa; Chordata; Aves; Strigiformes; Strigidae.
AAUAAUGUACUCAUGAGCUAGGAUAUCUAAUAGAAAAAGGUAGAUUUUAGAUCAUUCCAGCCUCUCUUUAUUUUAUUUUCCCAGAUAUUACUGUGUUGUUCCGGCAACAGCCACUAUGACUCUGUGUAUACAAAACAAUUCCAGGAAAAUGCUGCUAUUUGCCAGGCUGUAUUAUACGAGAUCCUGUACAAAGAUGUGUUUGGCAUGGAUGAGGAAGAGUUAAGGACUGCAGUUGAGAUGUUUCGAAGUGGAUCCAGGAAGAACAGAAACAGUGUCUCUAUAGGAAGUGAGGAUGCAAACUUUGAUUGUCUUCAUGAAAAAGUAACCAGAAAUCCAUCAGAAAAGAGAGUGGACGACUGGGAAGGCAAUGCUACAGACAAUCCACAGGAGGAUAAGUUCAAACAAGGCAUUGGAGAAGAAAAGGUUUGUCAGGAAAGAAUUCCUUAUGGUGGUGGUUGGUUUUUUUGUUGUUGUAUGAUGUU